AUUGAACGCUGGCGGCAGGCCUAACACAUGCAAGUCGAGCGGAUGAAGGGAGCUUGCUCCUGGAUUCAGUGGCGGACGGGUGAGUAAUGCCUAGGAAUCUGCCUGGUAGUGGGGGAUAACGUCCGGAAACGGGCGCUAAUACCGCAUACGUCCUGAGGGAGAAAGUGAGGGAUCUUCGGACCUCACGCUAUCAGAUGAGCCUAGGUCGGAUUAGCUAGUUGGUGAGGUAAAGGCCUACCAAGGCGACGAUCCGUAACUGGUCUGAGAGGAUGAUCAGUCACACUGGAACUGAGACACGGUCCAGACUCCUACGGGAGGCAGCAGUAGGGAAUAUUGGACAAUGGGCGAAAGCCUGAUCCAGCAAUGCCGCGUGUGUGAAGAAGGUCUUCGGAUUGUAAAGCACUUUUAGUUGGGAGGAAGGGCAGUGAGUUAAUACCUUGCUGUUUUGACGUUACCAAAAGAAUAAGCACCGGCUAACUUCGUG
Molecule: ribosomal RNA, 484 nt
Filed under: uncultured bacterium
Lineage: Bacteria
Description: partial 16S ribosomal RNA
Rfam family: Bacterial small subunit ribosomal RNA
Source: RNAcentral